Molecule: ribosomal RNA, 510 nt
Filed under: uncultured bacterium
Lineage: Bacteria
Description: partial 16S ribosomal RNA
Rfam family: Bacterial small subunit ribosomal RNA
Source: RNAcentral
GACGAACGCUGGCGGCGUGCUUAACACAUGCAAGUCGAACGAAGAGCGAUGGAAGCUUGCUUCUAUCAAUCUUAGUGGCGAACGGGUGAGUAACGCGUAAUCAACCUGCCCUUCAGAGGGGGACAACAGUUGGAAACGACUGCUAAUACCGCAUACGAUCUAAUCUCGGCAUCGAGGAUAGAUGAAAGGUGGCCUCUACAUGUAAGCUAUCACUGAAGGAGGGGAUUGCGUCGGAUUAGCUGGUUGGAGGGGUAACGGCCCACCAAGGCGAUGAUCAGUAGCCGGUCUGAGAGGAUGAACGGCCACAUUGGGACUGAGACACGGCCCAGACUCCUACGGGAGGCAGCAGUGGGGAAUCUUCCGCAAUGGACGAAAGUCUGACGGAGCAACGCCGCGUGAGUGAUGACGGCCUUCGGGUUGUAAAGCUCUGUUAAUCGGGACGAAAGGCCUUCUUGCGAAUAGUGAGAAGGAUUGACGGUACCGGAAGAGAAAGCCACGGCUAACUACGUG